UGAACGCUGGCGGCGUGCCUAACACAUGCAAGUCGAACGAGAAAUUUCCGCUUCGGCGGAAAGAGUACAGUGGCGCACGGGUGAGUAACGCGUGGGUAACCUGCCUUUGAAUCUGGGAUAACCCCGUGAAAACGGGACUAAUACUAGAUAAUGUCCCUUUGGCUUUGGCUUUAGGGAUGAAAGGUGACCUCUUCAUGAAAGUUGCCGUUCAAAGAGGGGCCCGCGUACCAUUAGCUAGUUGGUGGGGUAAUGGCCUACCAAGGCUACGAUGGUUAGCUGGUCUGAGAGGAUGAUCAGCCACACUGGAACUGGAACACGGUCCAGACUCCUACGGGAGGCAGCAGUGAGGAAUUUUGCGCAAUGGGGGAAACCCUGACGCAGCAACGCCGCGUGAGUGAUGAAGAUUUUCGGAUCGUAAAGCUCUGUCAAGCGGGAAAAAAUGCUUUCGGUCAAUAGCCGGAAGAACUGAUGGUACCGCUGGAGGAAGCACCGGCUAACUCC
Molecule: ribosomal RNA, 501 nt
Filed under: uncultured bacterium
Lineage: Bacteria
Description: bacterial SSU rRNA
Rfam family: Bacterial small subunit ribosomal RNA
Source: RNAcentral